Molecule: ribosomal RNA, 503 nt
Filed under: uncultured bacterium
Lineage: Bacteria
Description: partial 16S ribosomal RNA
Rfam family: Bacterial small subunit ribosomal RNA
Source: RNAcentral
AUUGAACGCUGGCGGCAGGCUUAACACAUGCAAGUCGAGCGGGGUGAUGGUGCUUGCACUAUCACUUAGCGGCGGACGGGUGAGUAAUGCUUAGGAAUCUGCCUAUUGGUGGGGGACAACAUCUCGAAAGGGAUGCUAAUACCGCAUACGUCCUACGGGAGAAAGCAGGGGAUCACUUGUGACCUUGCGCUAAUAGAUGAGCCUAAGUCGGAUUAGCUAGUUGGUGGGGUAAAGGCCUACCAAGGCGACGAUCUGUAGCGGGUCUGAGAGGAUGAACCGCCACACUGGGAAUGAGACACCGCCCAGACUCCUACGGGAGGAAGCAGUGGGGAAUAUUGGACAAUGGGGGGAACCCUGAUCCAGCCAUGCCGCGUGUGUGAAGAAGGCCUUAUGGUUGUAAAGCACUUUAAGCGAGGAGGAGGCUCUUUUGGUUAAUACCCAAGAUGAGUGGACGUUACUCGCAGAAUAAGCACCGGCUAACUCUGUGCCAGCCGCCGCAGUAA